AGUGAACGCUGGCGGUAGGCCUAACACCCGCACCCCGAACGGCAGCACAGUAAGAGCCUGCUCUUACGGGUGGCGAGUGGCGGACGGGUGAGGAAUACAUCGGAAUCUACUUUUUCGUGGGGGAUAACGUAGGGAAACUUACGCUAAUACCGCAUACGACCUACGGGUGAAAGCAGGGGAUCUUCGGACCUUGCGCGAUUGAAUGAGCCGAUGUCGGAUUAGCUAGUUGGCGGGGUAAAGGCCCACCAAGGCGACGAUCCGUAGCUGGUCUGAGAGGAUGAUCAGCCACACUGGAACUGAGACACGGUCCAGACUCCUACGGGAGGCAGCAGUGGGGAAUAUUGGACAAUGGGCGCAAGCCUGAUCCAGCCAUACCGCGUGGGUGAAGAAGGCCUUCGGGUUGUAAAGCCCUUUUGUUGGGAAAGAAAAGCAGCAGGUUAAUACCCCGCUGUUCUGACGGUACCCAAAGAAUAAGCACCGGCUAACUUCGUG
This 492-nucleotide ribosomal RNA is filed under the name uncultured bacterium. RNAcentral describes it as "partial 16S ribosomal RNA". It matches the Rfam family "Bacterial small subunit ribosomal RNA", at positions 29 to 507 of the family's 1533-position model. The record is from RNAcentral.